UACGUAGGUGACCAGCGUUGUCCGGAUUUACUGGGCGUAAAGAGCGCGCAGGCGGUCGUUCAAGUCGAGUGUGAAAGCCCCCGGCUCAACUGGGGAGGGUCACUCGAUACUGAUCGACUUGAAGGCAGGAGAGGGAAGCGGAAUUCCCGGUGUAGUGGUGAAAUGCGUAGAUAUCGGGAGGAACACCAGUGGCGAAGGCGGCUUCCUGGCCUGUUCUUGACGCUGAGGAGCGAAAGUGUGGGGAGCGAACAGG
This 253-nucleotide ribosomal RNA is filed under the name uncultured bacterium. RNAcentral's name for it is "partial 16S ribosomal RNA". It matches the Rfam family "Bacterial small subunit ribosomal RNA", at positions 524 to 776 of the family's 1533-position model. The record is from RNAcentral.